AACUCUGCUCUCUCCCUCGCGUCUAAGCCCUAGACUUCUCUCUCUGCUCUCUUUCUCUCGCGUCGAAGCCCGCCUUCUCUGUCUGCUCUCUCUCUCUCGUCUAAGCCCUAGCUUUCUCUCUCUGCUCUCUCUCUGUAGCGUCGAAGCCCUAGCUUUCUCUCUCUGCUCUCUCUCUUUAGAUGAAAAAGAUGCGGACAAGAUGAUGUUAUAGAUUCGAUAUAGUCUCCCUAUUCGAGUUAUCUCUCUGGUUCGCCUCUUUGUUCGAGUUAUCUCUCUGGUUCGCCUCUUUGUUCGAGUUCUCUCUCUGGUUUGGACACGAGAAACAACCAUUUGGAGCCACAGUUUCUUCGAAUUUUAGACGGCUAUACACAUCAAUUUCGAGCAAAAAAUCAAGGGUUUCAAAAUUGCAAGGGAAAUUGCAGAUUUGGAAGAACUUAGGAACGUAUCUUUGUUGUCUGAUAAUUAUUAUCAGCAAGACCUUUCAAACUAUUCUUCAAAUGUCGCGCAACGUUGGGACAUUGGUACUGCUAUUGCACGCUCUAGCUUUCGUGUUAUGGCCAGCAUGAAUCUAUCCACAGAAUUUCAAAUCUAUGGCAAACCCUGGGAGGUCUACAACAACCACAGUCAGCUCUAAUAUGAGUUGUGCAGCAGCUAGCUAGCUAACUUCAAAUCCGGAUGUGAAAGAUAUUGGGUACAUAUAGCGGAUAUGCAACACUACCCAACAACUUAGGCUUUUGAUUUAGAAUUUGGACAUCGAAGAAAACCCUAACCCCUAAUGGUAACAUGGCUCAAAGAAGAAACCCUAGGUCUGGAAUCCUUCUUUGGAGAUGCGAAGGUGUGCUAGGCGAUUUGUGGAUGGCUGUUGCUGCUAGGGUUGAGAGGAAUAGAGCUUUCUCCCUCCAAAAAAACUCGAAGAUAACAGCACUAGUAACACUUGUUUGGGAGAGAGAUGGAAUUUGCCUGACAACAUUUUCAGAUAAUUGUAGUGGUUAGUAGACAAAAUAAUUAAGCAAAUGGUGAUGGAUAAAGAAUGGAUGCACAUGACUUACAGAGUUGAUCCAAAGUAUUUAGAAGGAGCACGGAGGUUUGCUGAUCAGGCGCAAGCGAAUGCGGGCCAUCCAUAAAAGAUUUUAUGCCCUUGUAAUUGUUGUCUAAAUGCAAAGCACCAACACUUCGAAAUGGUGUUUAGGCAUUUAUUGGAAAAUGGAAUGGAUCAAUCAUACACUAUCUGGUACUUUCACGGGGAAAAUUUGAGUGAAUCUCUCCAACAUGGAAGUGAUGUAAAUGACGUUGAAAUGCCAGAGAUGUAUCAGAAUUUCUAUGAUUCCAGUCUACAACAAAGCUAUUUUUUUGGAUUUUAUACCGUGGAUUUUGCAGUUACUUCCUUGGAUUUUGUAUAGUGAGGUGGUUUUCUGACAAGUGCAGACUGAAACUCAAGUGCUAGAAGGUCAAUAAGGUUCAAACGGGCUAAAAACAGUCUACUAAAACCUUAUUGGAGUUAAGUAGAAAAAUCUAGAAAAGGCUCAAAAAAUUACCCUGGAGCAGAAAGAUCGAUCAUAGAUCUCAGCGAUCGCUUGCUGGCCACGUCAUCGUUCGUAGCUACAUCAGCAACCGGAUAAGGUUGCCUCGUCACUAUUCAUUCAAGUAACGAUUGAUUGUAGCUCUAGAGCAAUUGAUCGUAAUGCCACGUCAGUGUUAGCUCAGUGGAUAAGGCAACCAGUUGUCAAGAUAAGACUGUCAUGUUAGAGCGAUCGAUCAUAAACUCUAGCGAUCGUUCAUAAAUUCCAGCGAUCAAUCGUAAACCUACUAGCAGUGAGUUGUUUUAUUCCUGAUUUCGCCUAAUCUUUACCUAACUUAUGACUGCGGGAUUGCAUUAUUUUAGGGCAUGUUUCUGACCCAUUUUGGCCUCCAAAGGUUUUGUAUAAAAGGCAAAAUGAACCAUUUUGUAAAGGGUUAUUCAAUUUUACAUUGUAACUUUUAUAUUUUCA
Long non-coding RNA from Cornus florida, 1988 nucleotides. RefSeq lists it as uncharacterized. The transcript is spliced from 10 exons. Lineage: Eukaryota; Viridiplantae; Streptophyta; Magnoliopsida; Cornales; Cornaceae. The record is from RefSeq and is a predicted model, not a curated record.